UUCUACGGGAGGCAGCAGUAGGGAAUAUUGCACAAUGGAGGAAACUCUGAUGCAGCGACGCCGCGUGAGUGACGAAGGCCUUCGGGUUGUAAAGCUCUGUUCUCAGGAAAAAGAAAGUGAUUGUACCUGAGGAGAAAGGACCGGCUAACUUCGUGCCAGCAGCCGCGGUAAGACGAGGGGUCCAAGCGUUGUUCGGAAUCAUUGGGCGUAAAGCGGGUGUAGGCGGCUCCAUAAGUCAGGAGUGAAAGCCCCGGGCUUAACUCGGGAAGUGCUUUUGAUACUGUGGAGCUUGAAUGUGGGAGAGGAUAGUAGAAUUCCAGGUGUAGUGGUGAAAUACGUAGAUAUCUGGAGGAAUACCGGUGGCGAAGGCGGCUAUCUGGCCCAACAUUGACGCUGAGACCCGAAAGCGUGGGGAUCAAACAGGAUUAGAUACCCUGGUAGUCCACGCCGUAAACGAUGGAUACUUGGUGUUGGAGGUAUUGACCCCUUCAGUGCCGAAGCUAACGCGUUAAGUAUCCCGCCUGGGGAGUACGGCCGCAAGGUUAAAACUCAAAUGAAUUGACGGA
RNAcentral lists this ribosomal RNA (566 nucleotides) under uncultured bacterium. RNAcentral's name for it is "bacterial SSU rRNA". It matches the Rfam family "Bacterial small subunit ribosomal RNA", at positions 337 to 917 of the family's 1533-position model. The record is from RNAcentral.